RNAcentral lists this ribosomal RNA (301 nucleotides) under uncultured bacterium. RNAcentral's name for it is "partial 16S ribosomal RNA". It matches the Rfam family "Bacterial small subunit ribosomal RNA", at positions 509 to 807 of the family's 1533-position model. The record is from RNAcentral.
CAGCAGCCACGGUAAUACGGAGGAUCCAAGCGUUAUCCGGAAUCAUUGGGUUUAAAGGGUCCGUAGGCGGUCUUGUAAGUCAGUGGUGAAAGCCCAUCGCUCUACGGUGGAACGGCCAUUGAUACUGCAGGACUUGAAUUAUUGGGAAGUAACUAGAAUAUGUAGUGUAGCGGUGAAAUGCUUAGAGAUUACAUGGAAUACCAAUUGCGAAGGCAGGUUACUACCAAUUGAUUGACGCUGAUGGACGAAAGCGUGGGUAGCGAACAGGAUUAGAUACCCCUGUAGUCCCUGUCUCUUAUAC